Molecule: transfer RNA, 72 nt
Filed under: Neotoma lepida (desert woodrat)
Lineage: Eukaryota; Metazoa; Chordata; Mammalia; Rodentia; Cricetidae
Rfam family: tRNA
About the family: Transfer RNA (tRNA) molecules are approximately 80 nucleotides in length. Their secondary structure includes four short double-helical elements and three loops (D, anti-codon, and T loops).
Source: Rfam by way of RNAcentral
GAGGGAUGGCUCAGCUGUUAAGAGCACUGGCUACAUAUCCAGAGGUCCUGGGUUGGAUUCCCAGCACCCUCA